Molecule: ribosomal RNA, 601 nt
Filed under: uncultured bacterium
Lineage: Bacteria
Description: bacterial SSU rRNA
Rfam family: Bacterial small subunit ribosomal RNA
Source: RNAcentral
GCCUUUACUGACGCUAAAGCUCGAAGGUGCGGGUAUCGAACAGGAUUAGAUACCCUGGUAGUCCGCACGGUAAACGAUGGAUGCCCGCUGUUUGCGAUACACUGUGAGCGGCCAAGCGAAAGCGUUAAGCAUCCCACCUGGGGAGUACGCCGGCAACGGUGAAACUCAAAGGAAUUGACGGGGGCCCGCACAAGCGGAGGAACAUGUGGUUUAAUUCGAUGAUACGCGAGGAACCUUACCCGGGCUUGAACUGCCGGCGAACGAUACAGAGAUGUUGAGGCCCUUCGGGGCGCCGGCGGAGGUGCUGCAUGGUUGUCGUCAGCUCGUGCCGUGAGGUGUCGGCUUAAGUGCCAUAACGAGCGCAACCCCUCUCCGUAGUUGCCAUCGGGUGAUGCCGGGCACUCUGCGGACACUGCCACCGUAAGGUGUGAGGAAGGUGGGGAUGACGUCAAAUCAGCACGGCCCUUACGUCCGGGGCUACACACGUGUUACAAUGGGUGGUACAGAGGGCAGGCGUCCGGCAACGUCCGUCUAAUCCCGAAAGCCAUCCUCAGUUCGGACUGGGGUCUGCAACCCGACCCCACGAAGCUGGAUUCGCUAG